RNAcentral lists this transfer RNA (73 nucleotides) under Zingiber officinale. Its description in RNAcentral is "tRNA-Tyr". It matches the Rfam family "tRNA". From Rfam's summary of the family: Transfer RNA (tRNA) molecules are approximately 80 nucleotides in length. Their secondary structure includes four short double-helical elements and three loops (D, anti-codon, and T loops). Further hydrogen bonds mediate the characteristic L-shaped molecular structure. tRNAs have two regions of fundamental functional importance: the anti-codon, which is responsible for specific mRNA codon recognition, and the 3' end, to which the tRNAs corresponding amino acid is attached (by aminoacyl-tRNA synthetases). tRNAs cope with the degeneracy of the genetic code in two manners: having more than one tRNA (with a specific anti-codon) for a particular amino acid; and 'wobble' base-pairing, i.e. permitting non-standard base-pairing at the 3rd anti-codon position. Lineage: Eukaryota; Viridiplantae; Streptophyta; Magnoliopsida; Zingiberales; Zingiberaceae. The record is from RNAcentral.
CUGACCUUAGCUCAAUUGGUAGAGCGGACGACUGUAGAUCCUUAGGUCGCUGGUUCGAAUCCGACAGGUUUAU